Molecule: ribosomal RNA, 349 nt
Filed under: uncultured bacterium
Lineage: Bacteria
Description: bacterial SSU rRNA
Rfam family: Bacterial small subunit ribosomal RNA
Source: RNAcentral
CAGGCGUAGCAAUACGUGCUGACGAGCGGCGAACGGGUGCGUAAUACAUGGGAAUCUGCCCUUUGGUGGGGAAUAACCCGGCGAAAGCCGGGCUAAUGCCGCAUAAGAUCUUCGGAUGAAAGCGGGGGAUCGUAAGACCUCGCGCCGAUGGAUGAGCCCAUGUCGGAUUAGCUAGUUGGUGAGGUAACGGCUCACCAAGGCGACGAUCCGUAGCUGGUCUGAGAGGACGGCCAGCCACACUGGGACUGAGACACGGCCCAGACUCCUACGGGAGGCAGCAGUGGGGAAUAUUGGACAAUGGGCGAAAGCCUGAUCCAGCGACGCCGCGUGUGUGAAGAAGGCCUGCGGG